UACAGAGGGGGCAAGCGUUGUUCGGAAUUACUGGGCGUAAAGGGCGCGUAGGCGGCCUUCUAAGUCAGACGUGAAAUCCCUCGGCUCAACCGGGGAACUGCGUCUGAUACUGGGAGGCUUGAAUCCGGGAGAGGAAUGCGGAACUCCAGGUGUAGCGGUGAAAUGCGUAGAUAUCUGGAGGAACACCGGUGGCGAAGGCGGCAUUCUGGACCGGCAUUGACGCUGAGGCGCGAAAGCCAGGGGAGCAAACGGG
Molecule: ribosomal RNA, 253 nt
Filed under: uncultured bacterium
Lineage: Bacteria
Description: partial 16S ribosomal RNA
Rfam family: Bacterial small subunit ribosomal RNA
Source: RNAcentral